RNAcentral lists this unclassified non-coding RNA (320 nucleotides) under plant metagenome. Its description in RNAcentral is "partial contains 5.8S ribosomal RNA, internal transcribed spacer 2, and large subunit ribosomal RNA". The stretch from base 1 to 105 matches the Rfam family "5.8S ribosomal RNA", at positions 50 to 154 of the family's 154-position model. The record is from RNAcentral.
AAAGUGCGAUAACUAGUGUGAAUUGCAGAAUUCAGUGAAUCAUCGAAUCUUUGAACGCACAUUGCGCCCGCCAGUAUUCUGGCGGGCAUGCCUGUUCGAGCGUCAUUACAACCCUCAGGCCACCGGGCCUGGCGUUGGGGAUCGGCGGAAGCCCCCUGCGGGCACAACGCCGUCCCCCAAAUACAGUGGCGGUCCCGCCGCAGCUUCCAUUGCGUAGUAGCUAACACCUCGCAACUGGAGAGCGGCGCGGCCACGCCGUAAAACACCCAACUUCUGAAUGUUGACCUCGAAUCAGGUAGGAAUACCCGCUGAACUUAAGC